RNAcentral lists this ribosomal RNA (471 nucleotides) under Aegla castro. RNAcentral's name for it is "partial 16S large subunit ribosomal RNA". It matches the Rfam family "Bacterial large subunit ribosomal RNA", at positions 1932 to 2601 of the family's 2925-position model. The record is from RNAcentral. Lineage: Eukaryota; Metazoa; Arthropoda; Malacostraca; Decapoda; Aeglidae.
CGCGGUAUUUUGACUGUGCGAAGGUAGCAUAAUCAUUUGUCUUUUAAUUGAAGACUUGUAUGAAUGGCUGAACGAGAAAAUAACUGUCUCUUUAAAAAAUCUUGAAUUUUACUUUUAAGUGAAAAGGCUUAAAUAAUUUUAAAGGACGAUAAGACCCUAUAAAUCUUUAUAUUAUUUUUCUUUAACUUUCAAAUUAUAUAUUAAAAGAAAAUAAAAGAAAAAAAUAUUAUAUUGGGGAGAUAAAAAUAUAAUUUUUUUUAACUGUUUUAUAUAUAAAACAAUAAUUUUUGAUUUAUUAAAAAUUGAUCCUUUUUAAAGAUUUUAAGAUUAAGUUACUUUAGGGAUAACAGCGUAAUUUUUUUUGAGAGUUCUUAUCGAAAAAAAAGUUUGCGACCUCGAUGUUGAAUUAAAAUAUCCUUAUAAGUGCAGAAGCUAUAAAGGAAAGUCUGUUCGACUUUUAAAAUUUUACAU